AGAGAGAGACAUGCGCGCAUAUCAAUAAGCGGAGGAAAAGAAACUAACUAGGAUUCCCUCAGUAACGGCGAGUGAAGCGGGAAGAGCUCAAAUUUGAAAUCUUCAAGGUUCUACCUUGACGAAUUGUAGUUUAAAGAAGUGUUUUCUGUUGGAGUUUUGGUAAAAGUUCUUUGGAAUAGGACAUCAUAGAGGGUGAGAAUCCCGUAUUUGACCAUUAUUUCCAGCUUUGUGAUACACUUUCAAAGAGUCGGAUUGUUUGGGAAUGCAGUCCAAAAUGGGUGGUAAAUUUCAUCUAAAGCUAAAUAUUGGCGAGAGACCGAUAGCGAACAAGUACCGUGAGGGAAAGAUGAAAAGAACUUUGAAAAGAGAGUUAAACAGUACGUGAAAUUGUCAAAAGGGAAGCGUUUGACACCAGUGUUGUUUUCUCGAAAAUCAAUUAAAAAAGGCAGGAUUUUGUGUUGUAUUGACUUUAUCAGCUAUCUGCACUCUUUUCUUGUCUUUUUUAAUGCACUUUUCGUUUAACAAGUCAACAUCAAUUUCUUUUGUUGUAAAAGGGUCAUUGGAAGGUGGCUUUCUUUUCGGAGAAAGUGUUUAUAGCCUUUGGCCUCUGCAAUCGGAGAGAUUGAGGUCUGCAGCGUAGAUCCUUCGGGGUUAGAUACAUUUGUGCUAAGUUAUAGCCUUUCAUAGACAACUUGUUGACUAUGAUCAGUCAUGUAGCUUACUCGCUUAUGCUAUUUUACCUACGCUUAGGAUGUUGAUGUGAUACUGCGAGCA
Molecule: ribosomal RNA, 774 nt
Filed under: uncultured Neocallimastigales
Lineage: Eukaryota; Fungi; Neocallimastigomycota; Neocallimastigomycetes; Neocallimastigales
Description: partial large subunit ribosomal RNA
Rfam family: Eukaryotic large subunit ribosomal RNA
Source: RNAcentral